AUUGUGGACUGGGAUUAGAUACCCCAUUACUUUUUAUGUAAACUUUUGUUAUGCUGGGGGAUUACGAGCAUAUUUUGCUUAAAACUCAAAAGACUUGGCGGUGUUUUAUGUCUAUUCAGGGGAACCUGUUUUAUAAUCGAUGAUCCACGUUAUAUCUGACCUUUCUUAGUAUCUAUCAGUUUGUAUACCGCCGUUGUUAGCUUAUCCUUUAGGGGAUAAUAAUAAGCGAAAUAAGUAGUAUUUAUUACUAUGCUGUGAAUUCAGGUCAUGGUGCAGCUUAUAGGAAGGAUGCAAAUGGGUUACAUUUAUAAUUAUUUUUAAUGGAUUAAUAGCUGAAAUAGUUAUUAUUAAAGAGGACUUGAUAGUAAAAUUAUAAUAGUAAGUUAAUUUGAAUUUAGUUACUAAAACAUGCACAAAUCGCCCGUCGCUCUCGUUUAUAUUUAGAUGAGAU
This 451-nucleotide ribosomal RNA is filed under the name Nucula nucleus. Its description in RNAcentral is "partial 12S ribosomal RNA". The record is from RNAcentral. Lineage: Eukaryota; Metazoa; Mollusca; Bivalvia; Nuculida; Nuculidae.